UGAUGAGUAUCAGAAUGUGCAGCUUUCGAGAAGAUGACUUGAGUGUGUUCCUGAACAGCCAGGCCCUAUUGCACCGAGAAUUGAUUUGCACAGACGCUGUUUCAAAGAGGAAUUGUCCACACAGGAAGACUUUACAAAAUGGAAGUCUUGUGGCAUUGCAGGACCCAGACUUGAGGUGGUCAUUGAUCGCAGACUUGCGAACGUGAUUCAGAACCACAUUGCAGGAAGUACAGAAGAGUUUUCCUCCAUCUUCGUGCAGCUCACUGCCAAACUCAGUUACGCGAUCCUGAGGAGUGACAUACAAA
This is a long non-coding RNA of Grus americana (Whooping crane), 305 nucleotides long. RefSeq lists it as uncharacterized. The transcript is spliced from 5 exons. Lineage: Eukaryota; Metazoa; Chordata; Aves; Gruiformes; Gruidae. The record is from RefSeq and is a predicted model, not a curated record.